GGAGAGGUAGCGAAGAGGCUAAACGCGGCGGACUGUAAAUCCGCUCCUUCGGGUUCGGGGGUUCGAAUCCCUCCCCUUCCA
Molecule: transfer RNA, 81 nt
Filed under: Streptococcus sp.
Lineage: Bacteria; Bacillati; Bacillota; Bacilli; Lactobacillales; Streptococcaceae
Also listed under: 3 other names
Description: tRNA-Tyr(gta)
Rfam family: tRNA
About the family: Transfer RNA (tRNA) molecules are approximately 80 nucleotides in length. Their secondary structure includes four short double-helical elements and three loops (D, anti-codon, and T loops). Further hydrogen bonds mediate the characteristic L-shaped molecular structure. tRNAs have two regions of fundamental functional importance: the anti-codon, which is responsible for specific mRNA codon recognition, and the 3' end, to which the tRNAs corresponding amino acid is attached (by aminoacyl-tRNA synthetases). tRNAs cope with the degeneracy of the genetic code in two manners: having more than one tRNA (with a specific anti-codon) for a particular amino acid; and 'wobble' base-pairing, i.e. permitting non-standard base-pairing at the 3rd anti-codon position.
Source: RNAcentral